UCGGGUUGUAAAGCACUUUUGUCCGGAAAGAAAACUUCCUGGUUAAUACCUGGGGAGGAUGACGGUACCGGAAGAAUAAGCACCGGCUAACUACGUGCCAGCAGCGCGGUAAUCGUAGGGUGCGAGCGUUAAUCGGAAUUACUGGGCGUAAAGCGUGCGCAGGCGGUUCGUUAAGACAGAUGUGAAAUCCCCGGGCUUAACCUGGGAACUGCAUUUGUGACUGGCGAGCUAGAGUGUGGCAGAGGGGGGUAGAAUUCCACGUGUAGCAGUGAAAUGCGUAGAGAUGUGGAGGAAUACCGAUGGCGAAGGCAGCCCCCUGGGCCAAUACUGACGCUCAUGCACGAAAGCGUGGGGAGCAAACAGGAUUAGAUACCCUGGUAGUCCACGCCCUAAACGAUGUCAACUAGUUGUUGGGGAUUCAUUUCCUUAGUAACGUAGCUAACGCGUGAAGUUGACCGCCUGGGGAGUACGGUCGCAAGAUUAAAACUCAAAGGAAUUGACGGGGACCCGCACAAGCGGUGGAUGAUGUGGAUUAAUUCGAUGCAACGCGAAAAACCUUACCUACCCUUGACAUGGUCGGAACCCUGCUG
RNAcentral lists this ribosomal RNA (590 nucleotides) under uncultured Burkholderia sp. RNAcentral describes it as "bacterial SSU rRNA". It matches the Rfam family "Bacterial small subunit ribosomal RNA", at positions 418 to 1003 of the family's 1533-position model. Lineage: Bacteria; Pseudomonadati; Pseudomonadota; Betaproteobacteria; Burkholderiales; Burkholderiaceae. The record is from RNAcentral.